This 404-nucleotide ribosomal RNA is filed under the name Actinomycetes bacterium. Its description in RNAcentral is "Actinobacteria bacterium partial 16S ribosomal RNA". It matches the Rfam family "Bacterial small subunit ribosomal RNA", at positions 355 to 776 of the family's 1533-position model. Lineage: Bacteria; Bacillati; Actinomycetota; Actinomycetes. The record is from RNAcentral.
UGGGGAAUAUUGGACAAUGGGCGCAAGCCUGAUCCAGCCAUGCCGCGUGAGUGAUGAAGGCCCUAGGGUUGUAAAGCUCUCUCACCGGUGAAGAUAAUGACGGUAACCGGAGAAGAAGCCCCGGCUAACUUCGUGCCAGCAGCCGCGGUAAUACGAAGGGGGCUAGCGUUGUUCGGAUUUACUGGGCGUAAAGCGCACGUAGGCGGACUUUUAAGUCAGGGGUGAAAUCCCGGGGCUCAACCCCGGAACUGCCUUUGAUACUGGAAGUCUUGAGUAUGGUAGAGGUGAGUGGAAUUCCGAGUGUAGAGGUGAAAUUCGUAGAUAUUCGGAGGAACACCAGUGGCGAAGGCGGCUCACUGGACCAUUACUGACGCUGGGGUGCGAGAGCGUGGGGAGCAAACAGG